This 78-nucleotide transfer RNA is filed under the name Shigella sonnei. RNAcentral's name for it is "tRNA-Sec". It matches the Rfam family "Selenocysteine transfer RNA", at positions 11 to 82 of the family's 91-position model. The record is from RNAcentral. Lineage: Bacteria; Pseudomonadati; Pseudomonadota; Gammaproteobacteria; Enterobacterales; Enterobacteriaceae.
UCGUCUCCGGUGAGGCGGCUGGACUUCAAAUCCAGUUGGGGCCGCCAGCGGUCCCGGGCAGGUUCGACUCCUGCUCCA